Molecule: transfer RNA, 73 nt
Filed under: Kordia sp. SMS9
Lineage: Bacteria; Pseudomonadati; Bacteroidota; Flavobacteriia; Flavobacteriales; Flavobacteriaceae
Description: tRNA-Arg
Rfam family: tRNA
About the family: Transfer RNA (tRNA) molecules are approximately 80 nucleotides in length. Their secondary structure includes four short double-helical elements and three loops (D, anti-codon, and T loops). Further hydrogen bonds mediate the characteristic L-shaped molecular structure. tRNAs have two regions of fundamental functional importance: the anti-codon, which is responsible for specific mRNA codon recognition, and the 3' end, to which the tRNAs corresponding amino acid is attached (by aminoacyl-tRNA synthetases). tRNAs cope with the degeneracy of the genetic code in two manners: having more than one tRNA (with a specific anti-codon) for a particular amino acid; and 'wobble' base-pairing, i.e. permitting non-standard base-pairing at the 3rd anti-codon position.
Source: RNAcentral
AAGUUUAUGGUGUAAUGGAUAGCACAUUGGCCUACGAAGCCAAGAGUAUAGGUUCGAAUCCUAUUAGACUUAC